RNAcentral lists this ribosomal RNA (408 nucleotides) under uncultured bacterium. RNAcentral's name for it is "partial 16S ribosomal RNA". It matches the Rfam family "Bacterial small subunit ribosomal RNA", at positions 28 to 526 of the family's 1533-position model. The record is from RNAcentral.
GACGAACGCUGGCGGCGUGCUUAACACAUGCAAGUCGAACGGAGUGGCGAACGGGUGAGUAACACGUGGGUGACCUGCCUUCCACUUCGGGAUAAGCUUGGGAAACUGGGUCUAAUACCGGAUAGUGCAAGAUGAGCUCGCGUCCUAUCGUCUUGUUGGGGGGGUAAUGGCCUACCAAGGCGUCGACGGGUAGCCGGCCUGAGCGGGUGUACGGCCACAUUGGGGCUGAGAUACGGCCCAGACUCCUACGGGGGGCAGCAGUGGGGAAUAUUGCACGAUGGACGGAAGGAUGAUGCAGGGAGGCCGAGUGGGGGGUGAAUGCAAUCGGGUUGUAAACUCCUUUCGACAGGGACGCGGUACCUGUAUAAGAAGCACCGGCUAACUACGUGCCAGCAGCCGCGGUAAUUC